Molecule: long non-coding RNA, 1203 nt
Filed under: Homo sapiens (human)
Lineage: Eukaryota; Metazoa; Chordata; Mammalia; Primates; Hominidae
Description: HSALNT0142683
Source: RNAcentral
CGUCUAAAUAUGUCUGUUGUAAAUAGUGUAGCCAGCAUCUCAGAGACCCCCAUUGUAGCCAGCAUCCCAUAGAGAGAGCUCAGCAUUCAAUGAGCGCUGGAAGAGGCUGCCAGAAGCUGAUAAGGAGACGUAACAGAUUGUGAGUAAAAAUGGGGAAGGAAACAGUAAAAGACAGGCAAAGUCAGUUGGUGGUCAUGGAGAACAAACGGCAAGGAGAUCAAAAGGAAAUAGCCUUGCACUUUAACUCCUAGUCAGCAUGAAUUUUUAAAAAGGGAAGCUUUACGUGAACUUAAUCUAGAGUCUAGACAUUAACUGUAAAGAAAUGUUUCCACCAAAAAAAGGAGGGUAUUGAAUGAGAACUUGUAUUUUUAUUUUUUGUGGUAGAAUUCUUUUUGGGGUGGCAGGGGUUAGGAGCGGGGGCAAAUGAGAGGCAGUCUCUGUUCACGCAAGGAGGGGUGUCAGCCCUUACAGACCCUCCGAUUGACCUCACCAGAGUUGCCAGAUGAACCAAGGCAUGCUUUGUUUCUGGACUUAAUCUUUUUCAUAUUAAGAGGUUUACAUCAUCCAAAGUCAUCCAUGAUGUAGUUGAUGUGAACAGAAGCCAUUUCCUACUAGUAAGAAGAGAGUACUUCAGUCCCUGGUUGAAAUUGGCUAAAGGGUGAUGUGUGCAUUCUGCUCCCCCUUCAGACAACUGGGAGGGAGCUGGAAUCAGGAAGCCCCCUAACAAUUAUGGGCAUUGUAUUACACAACCAUAAAUAUGCACAGCCAUUGAGCUGUUUUUGCUCUGGCACUAAUGAUCUUGAAUUGUUCACAGCUACUUUCUCUCCUGAUGAAACUUUGAGGUAGUCAGUAACUUGGCUAGGCAGUCUUUCUAAGCUGGCUGGAUGACACAUUCACCUGAGUAAAAACUCCAACACAUUCUUCUGGACUUCUAAUUCACAUAAGAAAGGCACAACACAUCCAAGAAUGAAGGAGUUGUCAGGAAUUAAAAGACAGCAGCAACUCUCACAUCCUGAAUUAAGAUGAAUGUGUUUUUUCCUUCAAAUGUGUGUGUAUGAGUGUGUGUGUGCACAUAUGUGUCAGUGCAAAGUCCAGCUGUAACACAGAGCCCUGACCUUAUGACUAGUUGUUUUACAUGUUGGAGGUCAAAGGGGAGGUAAAAGAUCAAAAUAUAAGAUGGAAUUGGGCCAGGUGCAGUGGCUC